RNAcentral lists this ribosomal RNA (848 nucleotides) under Pseudomonas baetica. RNAcentral describes it as "bacterial SSU rRNA". It matches the Rfam family "Bacterial small subunit ribosomal RNA", at positions 33 to 878 of the family's 1533-position model. Lineage: Bacteria; Pseudomonadati; Pseudomonadota; Gammaproteobacteria; Pseudomonadales; Pseudomonadaceae. The record is from RNAcentral.
GGGCUGGGCGGCAGCUACACAUGCAGUCGAGCGGAUGACAGGAGCUUGCUCCUGAAUUCAGCGGCGGACGGGUGAGUAAUGCCUAGGAAUCUGCCUGGUAGUGGGGGACAACGUUUCGAAAGGAACGCUAAUACCGCAUACGUCCUACGGGAGAAAGCAGGGGACCUUCGGGCCUUGCGCUAUCAGAUGAGCCUAGGUCGGAUUAGCUAGUUGGUGAGGUAAUGGCUCACCAAGGCGACGAUCCGUAACUGGUCUGAGAGGAUGAUCAGUCACACUGGAACUGAGACACGGUCCAGACUCCUACGGGAGGCAGCAGUGGGGAAUAUUGGACAAUGGGCGAAAGCCUGAUCCAGCCAUGCCGCGUGUGUGAAGAAGGUCUUCGGAUUGUAAAGCACUUUAAGUUGGGAGGAAGGGCAGUAAAUUAAUACUUUGCUGUUUUGACGUUACCGACAGAAUAAGCACCGGCUAACUCUGUGCCAGCAGCCGCGGUAAUACAGAGGGUGCAAGCGUUAAUCGGAAUUACUGGGCGUAAAGCGCGCGUAGGUGGUUCGUUAAGUUGGAUGUGAAAUCCCCGGGCUCAACCUGGGAACUGCAUUCAAAACUGUCGAGCUAGAGUAUGGUAGAGGGUGGUGGAAUUUCCUGUGUAGCGGGUGAAAUGCGUAGAUAUAGGAAGGAACACCAGUGGCGAAAGCGACCACCUGGACUGAUACUGACACUGAGGUGCGAAACGUGGGGAGCAAACAGGAUUAGAUACCCUGGGUAGUCCACGCCGGUAAACCAUGUCACUAGCCGUUGGGAGCCUUUGAGCUCUUAAUGGCGCAGCUAACGCAUUAAUUGAACGCCUGGGG